This 1086-nucleotide ribosomal RNA is filed under the name Pseudorhaetus sinicus. RNAcentral's name for it is "partial 16S ribosomal RNA". The stretch from base 373 to 1086 matches the Rfam family "Archaeal large subunit ribosomal RNA", at positions 1423 to 2805 of the family's 2987-position model. The record is from RNAcentral. Lineage: Eukaryota; Metazoa; Arthropoda; Insecta; Coleoptera; Lucanidae.
UAUCUCGAAUUUGGGAGGGCUAGGAAAGUAUAAAUUUUACUGUGAAAUAAUUAUUUUCAAUACUUUCUUUGUAAUGAAAUAUUAGUCGUUCUUUAAUAUAUCUAGUUUUUUUAGAAAUUAAUUUAAUUAAGCUGGCUUGUUAUUUAUUUUUUUAGAAAAUUGAUUUUGUGGUCAAGUAAUACUAAGAGGGAUAAGCUUUUUAGUAAAUUACUAAAAUAUUAAUUUAGCUUGAUUUGUAAUAGGAAUAGAAGUUUUCAUUUUUUAUAGUGAGUUGUUUCAAGAAUUCGAUUAAGAUAAUUUUUGUAUAUUUAGGUUUUUUAUAAGAAUAAGGAAUUUAAUUGGGAAUUUUGUGUGAUAAUGAUUGAAUUAGUAUAUUGAAGUGUCCUAUAAUAGAUUUUUUGGUUGAGAGAUUUAAUUAAGGAAUUCGGCAAAUUUAUUUCUUGCCUGUUUAUUAAAAACAUGGCCUUUUGAUAAUAAUUUAAGGUCUGGCCUGCCCAAUGAAGUGUUUAACGGCCGCGGUACUCUGACCGUGCAAAGGUAGCAUAAUCAUUAGUUUUUUAAUUGAAAGCUGGAAUGAACGGUCGGACAAGGAAAUAGCUGUCUUUAUUUAAAGAGUAGAAUUUAAUUUUUUAGUAAGAAAGCUAAAAUGAGUUUAAGGGACGAGAAGACCCUAUAGAAUUUUAUAAGUUAUUUAUUGGUUGAUUUUAGGUUUAUUUAUUUGACUUUUAGGUAGAUUAUUUUGUUGGGGUGAUAGAAAAAUUUGUUCAACUUUUUUUUAGCUUGUAUUUACUAAUUUGUAAAUUAUUGAUCCACGAUUAGUGAUUAUAAGAUUAAAUUACCUUAGGGAUAACAGCGUAAUUAAUUUGGAGAGUUCUUAUCGAUAAAUUAGUUUGCGACCUCGAUGUUGGAUUAAAAUGAACUUUUGGUGAAGGAGCUAUUAGGUUAAGUCUGUUCGACUUUUAAAAUUUUACAUGAUCUGAGUUUAAACCGGCGUGAGCCAGGUUGGUUUCUAUCUUUAGAAAGAUUUAAUAUUUUAGUACGAAAGGACCAGAUAUUAGUUUUAUAAACUUUAAUUUGGAUAUUGAU